Molecule: long non-coding RNA, 684 nt
Filed under: Cricetulus griseus (Chinese hamster)
Lineage: Eukaryota; Metazoa; Chordata; Mammalia; Rodentia; Cricetidae
Description: lncRNA (ENSCGRG00015035699.1)
Source: RNAcentral
CUUUGAUCCAUUUGCACUUAAGUUUUGUGCAUGGUGACAGCAGAUGGAGGCUAUUACAGAGAACCACAACUGAUCAAAGUACAGAGAAUAAGUGACUGCGGGAUAUCUAUAUGACACUUAUUGCUGGAGAUAGAGAGCCAGUGCUGAGAUGAAGAUGAGUGAAGACCUCUCCCUCAUCAAAGAAGCUUCUUUUUGCAACAUAUGAAAGCUAUUACUGAGGACCAGAACUGGUCGAAGUGGAGAGAAUAAGUAACUGAGGAGUGCCCAGCCCCAAAUGGGACAUCUGUAACAUGGUUCCUAUACCCAAGACUGAGAGAACAUUAUGGAAGGGGGCUACAAAGAUUCUAAGAGUCAGAGGACUGGAAGAACUGGAAGUACUGCCAACAAAAUACUUUCUUCUGGGCACGACAAGGCUUGUGUGCCCAUGGACUCUCAAAGUUAUGAUUGCUUGCAUAAGACCUGCAAGACUACACCAGUCGACAUUCUAACAUGGAUGGAGGAAGGCCUUACAAGGCCUCACACCUAGUUGAAUAGCUACAAGCAGUCAACAGUUGAUGUAGGAUAGUUAAGAGAGUUUUCUUUAGGGGCAAGCCCCUAUAUAAGUUGCCAAGGCCCACGGGGUCAGCCCUACACCUGUGUAUGUGGUGGCACCUGAAAUAUGUAAAUUUACAUUAAAGAACUAGG